AUUGAACGCUGGCGGCAGGCCUAACACAUGCAAGUCGAGCGGAAGAACGGCGCUUGCUCCUGGCUUCAGUGGCGGACGGGUGAGUAACGCCUAGGUAUCUUCCUGGUAGUUUGGGAUUAAGUCCGGUAAAGGGCGCUUAUACCGCAUACGUCCUUCGGGCGACAGUGGGGGGUCUUCGGACUUUACGCUAUUAGGUGAGCCUGGGCCGUAUUAGAUAGUUGGUGGGGUAUAGGCCUGUCCCGGGGCUGUUCCGGUACUGCUCUGGGAGGGUGAUCCGCGACACUGGGACUGAGACACGGUCCAGAGUCCUAGGGGAGGCAGCAGGGGGGAAGAUUGGACAAUGGGCGAAAGCCUGAUCCAGCCAUGCCGGGUGGAUGAAGAAGGUCUUCGGAUGGGAAAACACUUUAAGGUGGGAGGAACGGCAGUAAGUUAAUACCUGGCUGUUUUGACGGUACCAACAGAAGAAGCACCGGCUAACUUCGUG
RNAcentral lists this ribosomal RNA (484 nucleotides) under uncultured bacterium. RNAcentral describes it as "partial 16S ribosomal RNA". It matches the Rfam family "Bacterial small subunit ribosomal RNA", at positions 30 to 507 of the family's 1533-position model. The record is from RNAcentral.